This is a long non-coding RNA of Cryptomeria japonica (Japanese cedar), 788 nucleotides long. RefSeq lists it as uncharacterized. The transcript has 3 exons. Lineage: Eukaryota; Viridiplantae; Streptophyta; Pinopsida; Cupressales; Cupressaceae. The record is from RefSeq and is a predicted model, not a curated record.
AAACAGACCCAUUUAAGCGCAGAACGCUCGAUUGGCAAAAGCGGUUCAAUAUCAUUAUUGGAAUCUGUCGCGGCCUUCUUUAUCUUCAUGAGGAUUCGCAGCUUCGAAUAAUUCACAGAGAAGUCAAAGCAGGCAACAUUUUGCUUGAUGAGAAUCCCAAUCCUAAGAUAGCUGACUUUGGCUUAGCCAGACUUUUCUCCGACAAUGAAACCGAAAUCCAAUCGAGAGUUGCAGGAACCUAUGGCUAAAUGGCUCCAGAAUAUGCAAUGGGAGGGCAGCUGUCUGUAAAAGCCGACGUUUAUAGUUUUGGAGUUUUACUGCUAGAGAUUGUAAGUGGAAGAAAAAAUACAGAGAUAGAUAUUUCAAAAGAAAAUCAGAGCCUGGGACUAUUAGAAUGGGCAUGGAGAUUAUUCAAAGGAGGCCAUACUCUCAAAAUUGUGGAUAUUAUUGCUGGGUAUAUGAAGCUCAGUGGUCACAUGACUGUUUGUCUUCCCCAUACUCUUCAUUUCAUAUCUGAUAUGUUUAUAUAAAUUGCUGUGUGCAGCCCAUACAUGAUGUACUAUAGAAUCAAUAAUGGUUAAUAAGAAUUCUCCCUGCUUUAGCCACUUAGUGGUGAACCACGUUAAACUUCAUGUUAUGCGUUGUUAUGUUUUCGUUUCUGUUUUGUUUUCUCUAUUUUAUUGUUGAUUGUCAUGUUUUUCUGCUCGGUUUAAAACUAACAAUUGGUAUCAGAGCCACAAUUGGCUUGAGCAGAGAUGGAAUCCGAUUGGAUAGUUGAUCUUGGAUAU